Ribosomal RNA from Termitomyces sp. J132, 2101 nucleotides. It matches the Rfam family "Bacterial large subunit ribosomal RNA", at positions 639 to 2297 of the family's 2925-position model. Lineage: Eukaryota; Fungi; Basidiomycota; Agaricomycetes; Agaricales; Lyophyllaceae. The record is from Rfam.
UACUCCUAGUCUAGAAAAAAUUUGUGGACAAAAAAAUAAGUACACAUAGUGAUGGGUCAGUUACUUCUAUUAGACCCGAAGCCAGGUGAUCUUACCAAGACCAGAUUAUAAUAGAUCGAACGGGUGAAUGUUGCAUAAUUCUCCGAUGAGUUUUGGUAAGCGGUGAAAUGCCAAUCUGACCUGGUGCUAGCUGGUUUUCUACCGAAACAUAUUUAAGUAUGACGUCUACACAAAAUUUAUGGAGGUACAGCAAGGCAAUUCCCAACAAGUUUAAGGGUUGUGUACGAAGUGCUCUCCUUAAGGAGCCAUUGACUCAUAAAGUUUUGAACACAUCAGCCUUUUAGGCGUUUAGGUUGCGGGGACCUCGAAAAUCUUACCUUUGGAAGCGAAUCUCGGAAUUACAUAAAUUGAUGGUAGAUAUUCAGACUACUCAUGCUAAGUUGGGUAGUCAAGACGGAAACAGCCGAGAACACUGAUCAAGGUCCCAAAUGAUUGUUAAGUGAAAUUAAGGACGUAGCAAUAUCGUAUACAGCUGUGAAGUGAGCCUGGCAGUCGCUACUUUUAAUGAUCGUAUGUAACAACGCAUCAGCAGUUUAGAUAGUAGCGCCGAAAAUUUAACGGGUCUUAAACAAUCAACCGAUAUCGUGUUGGUUUAUAUUAUACUAAACCUAGGUAGUAGAACAUUCAGUCAAACCCAUUAUAAAAUAGUGUUUCAUUAUUUUUUAGGUUACUGAAGAGAGAAUGCUGACAUGAGUAACGUAAAAAGAAGUUAUAAUACUUCUCGCCGAAUACGAAAGGGUUGCAAAUAGGAAAGGUUAAUCCGUUUUGUUUGAAUGCGGCCUCUAAGGACCAAAACCAAAGUUUUGGCUGAUGAGUAUAUAAUAGAAAGUCCAUUUUUUUAGUGGACCAGGAAAUGAAUAUUAUAAGUAAUAACAUUUUAAUGUAUAACUGCCCACCUUACUGCCCCCUUAUUCCCCCCUUAUUAUUAUUAAUACCUUCAUGGUAUUCUUAUCUCCGGAGGAAUCCGGAGGAAUCCGGAGGAAUCCGGAGGAAUCCGGAGGAAUCCGGAGGAAGGGAUUUUUUGUAGUCCUGGACCACAAAAAAGGGUUGGAGGAUUAUUAAGGCAUUCGGAUUUUUUAUAAUUCCUACAAAAAACCUUCCUUUUUUUUGUAGUAGGUUUUUUGUAGUAGGAGGACAAAAAAUUAAGGAGAGAUUAGAAGUUAAGAUUUAUUAUUUAAUUUUGUAUUUUUAUUUUUUAGCCAGUUGUUUUUAGAAGAAGAGAAAAAUCCCCGGCCCUGGCCCCCUUUUUAGAUUAAAAAACUAGUAGAAGGGGUAUAAAAAUACAAAAAUAAACUACCGUACCCUAAACCGACACAGGUUCGUAAGUAGAGAAUACUAAGGCGUAGAGCUAAAAGUUGUUAAGGAACUCGGCAAAUUCACCUCAUAAGCUUGACGAAAAGAGGUACCGUAUAUUGUUUGUAGGUAGUUAUUAAUAAUUAUUAAUUUAUUUUUAUUUGUAAGUAUUAUUUUUUUAAGUAGCAUUUCUCCUUGUCUAAGAAGAAUUUGAUUUUGAAUAAGGAGCGCAUAUAAACAUAAAACGGUGGCACAGAAUCGGAGGCCACGACUGUUUACUAAAAACACAUCACAGUGCAAUCAUUAAUAUGAUAGUAUACUGUGUGAAAUUUGCCCGAUGCCAUUAAUAUAAGAGAGGUCAUAGGGAACUGUGGCUAAUCGAAAAUCUGGUUAAUAGCGGUCUUAACUAUGAGGAUCCUAAGGUAGCAAAAUAAAUUGGCCAUUAAAUGUGGUCCGGUAUCAAUAAUGUAACGAUGGCCUCACUGUCUCUACAACUUGCUCAGUGAAAUUGAAUUACGCGUGCAGAUGCGCGUUGCCUCCAGGGGGACGGGAAGACCCUAUGCAGCUUUACUGUAGUUAGUUAUCACAUGAAUCUAGAACAAUCUUAAUUAAUAGUAAAUAGGGAAGUCGAUAGACAAAUACUGGAAACCUUAAAAUAGAGAUUGGGUUUUUGUUUACCUUAAAAUUAAAAAGAAAAGGGAUAGUUGACUAAUUGGCAGUUUGACUGGGGCGGUCGUCUUUAAUAGAG